GACGAACGCUGGCGGCGUGCUUAACACAUGCAAGUCGAACGGAAAGGCCCUGCUUUUGUGGGGUGCUCGAGUGGCGAACGGGUGAGUAACACGUGAGUAACCUACCCUUGACUUUGGGAUAACUUCAGGAAACUGGGGCUAAUACCGGAUAGGAGCUCCUGCUGCAUGGUGGGGGUUGGAAAGUUUCGGCGGUUGGGGAUGGACUCGCGGCAUAUCAGCUUGUUGGUGGGGUAGUGGCUUACCAAGGCUUUGACGGGUAGCCGGCCUGAGAGGGUGACCGGCCACAUUGGGACUGAGAUACGGCCCAGACUCCUACGGGAGGCAGCAGUGGGGAAUAUUGCACAAUGGGCGGAAGCCUGAUGCAGCAACGCCGCGUGCGGGAUGACGGCCUUCGGGUUGUAAACCGCUUUCGCCUGUGACGAAGCGUGAGUGACGGUAAUGGGUAAAAAAGCACCGGCUAACUACGUG
RNAcentral lists this ribosomal RNA (468 nucleotides) under uncultured bacterium. RNAcentral's name for it is "partial 16S ribosomal RNA". It matches the Rfam family "Bacterial small subunit ribosomal RNA", at positions 28 to 507 of the family's 1533-position model. The record is from RNAcentral.